This 1116-nucleotide ribosomal RNA is filed under the name Microbacterium hominis. Its description in RNAcentral is "bacterial SSU rRNA". It matches the Rfam family "Bacterial small subunit ribosomal RNA", at positions 337 to 1463 of the family's 1533-position model. The record is from RNAcentral. Lineage: Bacteria; Bacillati; Actinomycetota; Actinomycetes; Micrococcales; Microbacteriaceae.
UCCUACGGGAGGCAGCAGUGGGAAUAUUGCACAAUGGGCGCAAGCCUGAUGCAGCAACGCCGCGUGAGGGAUGACGGCCUUCGGGUUGUAAACCUCUUUUAGCAGGGAAGAAGCGAAAGUGACGGUACCUGCAGAAAAAGCGCCGGCUAACUACGUGCCAGCAGCCGCGGUAAUACGUAGGGCGCAAGCGUUAUCCGGAAUUAUUGGGCGUAAAGAGCUCGUAGGCGGUUUGUCGCGUCUGCUGUGAAAUCCCGAGGCUCAACCUCGGGUCUGCAGUGGGUACGGGCAGACUAGAGUGCGGUAGGGGAGAUUGGAAUUCCUGGUGUAGCGGUGGAAUGCGCAGAUAUCAGGAGGAACACCGAUGGCGAAGGCAGAUCUCUGGGCCGUAACUGACGCUGAGGAGCGAAAGGGUGGGGAGCAAACAGGCUUAGAUACCCUGGUAGUCCACCCCGUAAACGUUGGGAACUAGUUGUGGGGUCCAUUCCACGGAUUCCGUGACGCAGCUAACGCAUUAAGUUCCCCGCCUGGGGAGUACGGCCGCAAGGCUAAAACUCAAAGGAAUUGACGGGGACCCGCACAAGCGGCGGAGCAUGCGGAUUAAUUCGAUGCAACGCGAAGAACCUUACCAAGGCUUGACAUACACCAGAACACCGUAGAAAUACGGGACUCUUUGGACACUGGUGAACAGGUGGUGCAUGGUUGUCGUCAGCUCGUGUCGUGAGAUGUUGGGUUAAGUCCCGCAACGAGCGCAACCCUCGUUCUAUGUUGCCAGCACGUAAUGGUGGGAACUCAUGGGAUACUGCCGGGGUCAACUCGGAGGAAGGUGGGGAUGACGUCAAAUCAUCAUGCCCCUUAUGUCUUGGGCUUCACGCAUGCUACAAUGGCCGGUACAAAGGGCUGCAAUACCGUGAGGUGGAGCGAAUCCCAAAAAGCCGGUCCCAGUUCGGAUUGAGGUCUGCAACUCGACCUCAUGAAGUCGGAGUCGCUAGUAAUCGCAGAUCAGCAACGCUGCGGUGAAUACGUUCCCGGGUCUUGUACACACCGCCCGUCAAGUCAUGAAAGUCGGUAACACCUGAAGCCGGUGGCCCAACCCUUGUGGAGGGAGCCGUCGAAGGU